Molecule: long non-coding RNA, 846 nt
Organism: Zonotrichia leucophrys gambelii
Lineage: Eukaryota; Metazoa; Chordata; Aves; Passeriformes; Passerellidae
Exons: 3
Source: RefSeq, a predicted model, not a curated record
CUUUUGUGUUUAGGGGUGGUAAAGUGCAUUUGUAAUUUCUGGUUUUGUUCUUGUUUUGUUUUGUAUUUUUUUUAGGAGGAGCGCAGCAUCCAGAGAUUCCUGGUUGUGUCAAGUACAACACUUUUUUCAGCAGAUUCAUCAUGUCACAAGAGGGAUCCGCCCAGUGUCAAGGAUGAUGUCUGAGAUUGAGGCAUCAGGUGCCACUGCUAAUAAAGGCCACAGCCUUGGAAUCAGGAUGAAGCUGGAGCCUGAGGGAGCCAGGCACACUCAGGAGAGGCUAACCAAGAAGCUAACAGGCCAUCACGAGGCGUUCCAAGGCAGACUCAUUUCAGGUGCAACAUGGAUCCACAUCACCAAUCAUCCAAACGAUAAGUUGGGGGCCAGGGCUUGGAGAUGGGAUGAUGGGAGAGUAGCAGGUUGGGAGAUCUUGGGGCAGAUGUAAAAAUUAGCAGAGGGAAAAGCAAACUUGUCCAAGGGCCUCUUAGGACAGCUAAAGGGAGAGGCUCUACUUUUGAUGGCAGCUUUCAGGCGGGCAGUGCAGAACAGCUCUGGUUUGUGUCGUGGUUUCCGGUGUGCCCUGUUCCCUAGUGUGUCUUUGGGGUCCCUUUUGCCUUCUUCCCUCGAGGCCCUCACCACAAGCAUGAUGUGUGGUGUUUAAUGUCCCCCUGUUUGUCACGUUCUGUGUCACGGGUGUCUGCACACAUAUGGGUGCCGGAGCUGUUCUGCCCUGCCGCAUGGCCAGCUGCAAUGGGACAAGCCCUGGGGCCUUGCAGUUUGUGGGGUGUCACUGGACUCUAGAUGCUAUUCCUAGAUGGACCUAAGGUGUUUGCAGCUUGUGAGUCAUCU